AAACUGGGCUUUAGCCACAUUUUUCCCAAAACCGCUCUGCCACACAUAUGAGAAAAUGUGUGGCUAAAGGUCAUUUAUAAUAUUUUAAAAUACUUCUAGCCACACAAUUUAUUAUUAAUGUGACCAUUGUAUACCUGUUCGAAACCUUUAGCCACAUUUUUAAGAUAAAGUGUGACAUUUACUAGCAUGUCUAGCCACAGCUUAAAAAAUGUGGCCAAAUAUAACCUAUUGCCACAAUAUUUGUUUGAUUUUUUUAAUUAAUGUGACGGAAACACUUUUUUUUAAAACCUUUAGUCACACUUUUUAUAAAAAAAAAUAUGACAAUCACUAGCCACGAUAUAAAAGUGUGGCCAAAUAUUACUAACCGUCAUAAUAGGUUUUUAAUGAUGUGGUUAAAUGAUGAUUCAUAUAAACCACUUAAAGAGUAUUAUUUAUUUAGUCACUUAUAAGUUUUUUUAUGUGGCUAAAAAUUAUCAACUGUGACUGUAAAAAAAAUGUGGCUAUACUUAUUCUAUAAUCACACUUUAAUUACUUACGUGUCCAACCUUUUCACUCCUUAUCCCCUACAUUUCUCCUUCCCCAACCAUGUUCUCUGUUUCAACAAAGCUACCCAGUCUCUCUUUCACCAAAAACCCUAAUCCCUAAAUUCCAGUUUCACCCAAAAUUCAAUAUAAUAAGCCAUUUAUUCGAUGCGAUAUAACAAGGUCUAAAUGAACAUAUGCCAAUCGGAGAAAAGGAAGCUUAAAUCAAUGUAACAUAUUAAACCAUUUAUCCGAGGUCCGUUUCGAGGUGUCCGAAUGGUGGUAAUUCGGUUGUUGUUGUUUCUGGAGGUGGUGAUAGUGUGAAUUUGUUCUAAGAGGCGUGGGAGGUCUGUGUCUAAGAGAAAUUACGGUGAUGAUGUUGGUAGUGCAGCAAGGGUUGUUUCGGAUAGUGAUAGUGAUUGAGGAAUAGGCGGUCUAUUUCGGUUGUUCAGCAUCAGAUUAGUGGCUCCGAGGCUUUCUUACUAUCACUAGCUACAUAUGGUGAUUAUCUACAUGCUGGUUAAUUAUCCGCCUACUGGCUAUCCUCCAGCAGGCUAUCCUGGACCCUCUGCUUCACAUUAUCCAGUUUUGCUGCUUCACGACUCACGAGGUACAUGGUUUCCGACAACCGUAAAAGAACAUGCAUGCAGAAUCCAUAUAUAAAAACUAAAUAAUAUAACAGGUACGUGUACGCAGUUUAUUCGCAUGCCGGUCUGCAGCCUAUUCGCAGCCGGUCUGCAGCUUAUUUGCAGCCUGUUCGGAGCUGGUACGCAGGCCUGUUCGCCUACAUUUCAUACUCUUUGUGAAUAAUUAAUCAUCCAAUAGCAUCAAAGGAUUGGCAACCCUUAUCAUCAAGCAGUGGUGCAGCUUCAAUAGGGCUUUUACAAGUUAUGAAAUCUAUGGUGAUUACCCUAGAUAUCUAGCGUUAGAGAGACGGUUCCAGCCAGUUAAGAAAGGGCCUCAAUUUUUUUCCGGCUUUGGGCCUCCAAAUAGGUUGAGCCGACCCUAUUGAUUCAUUAAAAUUGUGUAUCAAAGUUACGAAGUAGCAGAUAGAUCAACUAAAGUUAAAGGAAUAUAAUUGCAUGCAUAGAAAGUUUGACUAAACCAGAGUUUAAUGAGAUGUUUACCAGCUGUUUCCAAAGUUUAGACUGUCGUGAGUGCUACUAUUUUUGAAGUUGAAGUUUGGAUGCAUUUUGAUGAUGAAAGAUGUGUUUGCUUUGAAUAUUGGUUUUUAGGUGAAACAAGAUGAACAAACAAAAGUGUUGGCUUAUAUAACUGUCCCAAAGAAGCUUUGUAAUAGUUGUUGGAAUGGCUGGACUGCUUGAUUAUUUAUUUAUAUAACAUCAUUUUUUCAUAUUUCCAUAUCA
Helianthus annuus (common sunflower) is the source of this 1888-nucleotide RNA transcript. RefSeq lists it as uncharacterized. The record is from RefSeq and is a predicted model, not a curated record. Lineage: Eukaryota; Viridiplantae; Streptophyta; Magnoliopsida; Asterales; Asteraceae. The transcript is spliced from 7 exons.